This 206-nucleotide ribosomal RNA is filed under the name Citrobacter murliniae. RNAcentral describes it as "partial 16S ribosomal RNA". It matches the Rfam family "Bacterial small subunit ribosomal RNA", at positions 273 to 473 of the family's 1533-position model. Lineage: Bacteria; Pseudomonadati; Pseudomonadota; Gammaproteobacteria; Enterobacterales; Enterobacteriaceae. The record is from RNAcentral.
GCGACGAUCCCUAGCUGGCCUGAGAGGAUGACCAGCCUCACUGGAACUGAGACACGGGCCAGACUCCUACGGGAGGCAGCAGUGGGGAAUAUUGCACAAUGCUUCGAGCGUGAUGCAGCCAUUCCGUUUGUAUUUAGAAGUGCUUCGGGUUGUAAAGUACUUUCAGCUUGAAGGAAGGGUUGGGGUUAAUAUCCUCAAGGAUUGAC